Molecule: ribosomal RNA, 501 nt
Filed under: uncultured bacterium
Lineage: Bacteria
Description: partial 16S ribosomal RNA
Rfam family: Bacterial small subunit ribosomal RNA
Source: RNAcentral
AUUGAACGCUGGCGGCAUGCCUUACACAUGCAAGUCGAACGGCAGCACGGGUGCUUGCACCUGGCGGCGAGUGGCGAACGGGUGAGUAAUAUAUCGGAACGUACCUUAUUGUGGGGGAUAACGCAGCGAAAGCUGUGCUAAUACCGCAUAAUCCCUAAGGGGGAAAGCGGGGGACCGUAAGGCCUCGCGCAAUUAGAGCGGCCGAUACCUGAUUAGCUAGUUGGUGAGGUAAAGGCUCACCAAGGCAGCGAUCAGUAGCUGGUCUGAGAGGACGAGAAGCCACACUGGGACUGAGACACGGCCCAGACUCCUACGGGAGGCAGCAGUGGGGAAUUUUGGACAAUGGGGGCAACCCUGAUCCAGCAAUGCCGCGUGAGUGAAGAAGGCCUUCGGGUUGUAAAGCUCUUUUGUCAGGGAAGAAACAGCAGCUCUAACACAGUUUGCGAAUGACGGUACCUGAAGAAUAAGCACCGGCUAACUACGUGCCAGCAGCCGCCGUAA